This 1022-nucleotide ribosomal RNA is filed under the name uncultured Synechococcus sp. RNAcentral describes it as "bacterial SSU rRNA". It matches the Rfam family "Bacterial small subunit ribosomal RNA", at positions 1 to 1306 of the family's 1533-position model. The record is from RNAcentral. Lineage: Bacteria; Bacillati; Cyanobacteriota; Cyanophyceae; Synechococcales; Synechococcaceae.
GCCAGGCCGAGGGGCGCACCCGACAGGAGACCCGGGGGCCCGAAGAGGGGGAUGCCCCAGCGAUACGGAGCGGGCGAGGGUCCCCACCGAUACGCCACUCUCCGGAGCACAGCAGGAAAUGCGCAAUGGUGAAACCGACCAGCACCGCGUGGGGAGAAGCUUUCGAGUUGAACCCCUUCUGGGGAGAGAAGACGGUACCCAGGAAUAAAUCUCGGCUAACUACGUGCCAGCAGCCGCGGUAAGACGUAGAGCGAGCGUUAUCCGUUCGAUAUGCGCGUAGUUAUCGCAGGCGGCUCGUAAGUCUGUCGUUAAGCGUGGAGCUUAACUCCAUUUCAGCGAUGGAAACUGCGAGGCUUGAGUGUGGUAGGGGCAGAGGGAAUUCCCGGUGUAGCGGUGAAAUGCGUAGAUAUCGGGAAGAACACCAGUGGCGAAGGCGCUCUGCUGGGCCAUAACUGACGCUCAUGGACGAAAGCCAGGGGAGCGAAAGGGAUUAGAUACCCCUGUAGUCCUGGCCGUAAACGAUGAACACUAGGUGUCGGGGGAAUCGACCCCCUCGGUGUCGUAGCCAACGCGUUAAGUGUUCCGCCUGGGGAGUACGCACGCAAGUGUGAAACUCAAAGGAAUUGACGGGGGCCCGCACAAGCGGUGGAGUAUGUGGUUUAAUUCGAUGCAACGUGAAGAACCUUACCAGGGGUUUGACAUCCUGCGAAUCUCUUGGAAACGAGAGAGUGCCUUCGGGAGCGCAGUGACAGGUGGUGCAUGGCUGUCGUCAGCUCGUGUCGUGAGAUGUUGGGUUAAGUCCCGCAACGAGCGCAACCCACGUCGUUAGUUGCCAGCAUUUAGUUGGGCACUCUAGCGAGACCGCCGGUGAUAAACCGGAGGAAGGUGUGGAUGACGUCAAGUCAUCAUGCCCCUUACAUCCUGGGCUACAACACGUACUACAAUGCUACGGACAAAGGGCAGCAAGCUCGCGAGAGUUAGCAAAAUCCCAUAAACCGGUGGCUCAGUUCAGAUCGUAGGCU